RNAcentral lists this long non-coding RNA (2888 nucleotides) under Mus musculus (house mouse). RNAcentral's name for it is "long non-coding RNA chr12:83486134-83489022". The record is from RNAcentral. Lineage: Eukaryota; Metazoa; Chordata; Mammalia; Rodentia; Muridae.
GAACGAGAACGGGAGCCAGGAACUCGCAUCAAGCUCAGCCUCCGUCUUUACAGCAAUAUCUCAUGGAAACUCCAAGAUCUGGGACAUCCCUGCCCUAUUCCUGGUUGUUGGCUGGUGCAAACGCAGCGGGUUCUCCCUACGGGUUUCUUGGCACUAGGAAUCCCACGCACACUCUCUCGCCGCCGCCCUGCUGCUCCCCAAAGCGAACGGUGUUUUCGACUCCCAUAGCCAGGGACGCUGUAGCGCGCAGCUAAAAGAGCCAAGAUCGACCACUGACACACACCGGGAAGAAUUGGCACUAAACACCCACGCUCACCCUCCGACUCCCACUGGCUUUCAUCAGGGCGGGGAAGUCCUAGUACACCGGGCACCCACUGGGUGCCCACGCCGCGCCGCGAUUCCCAAGGAUCCACCCUCUGCCAACAUGCCUGCCAAUAGCGCCCCUUGAGAGCCACACUAGUUUUCCGAGGCCACCCCCGGCUCCGCGAUCACCCGCGGACUUGCGGCUUCAUAUUCAGUCCACCGACUGGAAGAAGGAAGGAAGGAAGGAAGGAAGGAAGGAAGGAAGGAAGGAAGGAAGACCGGCGGGCAGGCAGCUCCGAUCGGGAACCGGCCCCCGCGAGUCCUUGCGCAGCCCGCCCCCCUGUGUCCGCUCAAAGUCUCCGGGAGGCACCUGCCCCUCGCUGUCGCCAGAGCCCUCCACCGCCGCCUCCACCGCCUCGGCUUUUCACCCAGAGCAGGCAAGCACACCAUUUAUAAGACCUGCAGUUUCCCUGCCUCCAUAUCAACCCCAAGUUAACCCGGAUCGUUAAUUUACUAGAGCCAGUUAGCCUACAAAUACACAGACACACCGGCGACCGCCCGGAGCGCCUGCCUGAUCCCCGGCUGCCGGAGUGGAAAAGCCCGGGGCAAGCACCUGGGCCCCAGGACUCCCGGGACCCGCCGCUCCGCGCGCUGUCCUCCCAACUCCGGAAGGUUUACACAAACUCCCUGCGAGAGCUCGGAAGGCAGAGCGAACGCCCUGCAAAACUCCGCAGCCGCUGCGGUCCGUCUGCCCGCCUGGGUGGACGAGCAGCGGGGCCGGGAAGGUUCGGGCUUGGAGUGCAGGGCUCAGCCGAGCGCACGACGCGGUCUCUGCCCCGCGCUCCGGCCAGGCUCAGCCAACCCCGCGCUCUGGCCAGCCUCAGCCAGCUCCGCGCGGCGCCGGGAGAGGCAGGGGACUCCGAGAACCGUGAAGACCCGGGCUGCUCACGACCCCCGCAGCUCCUGAGCCGGCGCCGCCGCUCUGUGUUCCCUCCCGGUCCCGGUCAGCCAAUUAAGCAGAACACAAAUGUAACAAUUUUCUUUUUGUUAAUUGCAUCUCCUGACAUUUCUGCGCGCUGGGAGGAAAAAAAAAGAUGAAGAAGUAAGAGCAGGAAGAAAAGAGGAGCCCGGGCGCAGCGGGAGGUGUCUGCGAGAGCCGGGCGCCGGCUGCGCUCCACAAGGCGCCUUUUUUUCAUAUUGAAACCACGCGGAAUAUGUACAUUUUUUAGUCUUACUUACGCUUUCAGGGGGUUGUGAAUGACAGUCGCCAUUUUGCUACAAUGUAACAGAAUAUUGUCUGUCUCAGAGUUCUAAAGGUUCGCUCAGGGGAAGCGGCAGGCCAAUCAGAGCACGGGAUACCGGCCUACCGGCCAAUCGGCGCGGCUGGUCGCCAAGUGGGCGGGGCCUGCGUGGUGGUAGUUAUUAGGGGAGCUGUCAAAGCCCAGAGGUCACUCCCUUUUGUAGAGCCCGAGAGCGAGCAGGUCUUAAAGGGGCAGUACCGUGUUAGUAGCGCCCUUUUAGAUUGGAACUCGUGGAGACAACAUGGGAGAGCAUUCUCGCUUAGUUGGAGUCCCUACUUUGCUAAAUAACUGCAGAGUUUGCGCUCCUGGACAAGAAUAUUUACAUAGUGCCAACAAAACCACUUAACCCCAUUCAUUAGCUCUGGGCUUUGUAAAUCACGGUUUUUAACCCCCGAGCUCCUUGUACACCACCGUGUUGCAGUGCAAAAAGUUGGAAGGCUGCAGUUUCCUCCAAGAAAUUACUACUCGUGUUCCACUGUUUGCUAAUAAUGUUCUGGGUUCCGCGGCUGUUCAAUAUUCUUGUUCCCGAAGUGUUUUCUUGAUCUCAGCCACCUUCCCCGGGCGGUUUCUGAGAACUGGAGAGUCCAGGACAGCAACUCCCUUCCUCCUGGAAUGUCUCAGUGUCAGGCUUGCGGACAGCCACGGCUUUUGUUACGUAAUUCACGGGUGGUCACUCCGCGCGGUCCCCUACGACCACCGUUCUCCACUGUCAACGAUUCACACUGAUCUGACAUGGCCAGCUUGGGAGCGAAGUGAGACCUGGCGCUUUUUAGGCAGAAGGUUGGGGAAAUUUUGAGGCAACUUUAGGAAACGCAGCUAGGGAAGUCAGUAACUAUGCAAAAAUUGUUAGAGCCUGAGGUAGGUGUUGCCUGAGUCCCCUCUGGGAACGGCUCUGAGAAUUCAGGCGUCACCUUUCUGGACUAAGAUAGGAGGUGAAAAGAAUUUGCAAGUGAAUGUUCAGACGUGACUCCUGGCUUCCCCAGUAUGCGGCUGCUCAGAAUCUGAUAAACCCCAGAAGAAACUGAGAGACUUCUGCGAACUCAGACUUCCACGGAGCACAGGGAGACUCGGAGUGGGCGAAAACUCAUGAAAUCACUUAGAGGGCACAGGCAUCGUUAGCUUAUAGAAGCCGGGCUAUGGCCCCCUUGGCUGUUUAAUCAGGUCAAAUAGCUGGGGGCUGGGAAGUGAAAAGGAAACCGAGAGAUGCUGAAUUGCAGUUCACAAUUCCACCUGCUCUCGCCUUUUACGACUCUCGAUGAAUAAAGUAAAAUACAAUUACAAAGC